CGUAGCUUAGAGGUAAAGCAUCUGACUUUUAAUCAGAGGAGCGGAGGUUCAAAUCCUCUC
RNAcentral lists this transfer RNA (60 nucleotides) under bovine gut metagenome. It matches the Rfam family "tRNA", at positions 7 to 64 of the family's 71-position model. From Rfam's summary of the family: Transfer RNA (tRNA) molecules are approximately 80 nucleotides in length. Their secondary structure includes four short double-helical elements and three loops (D, anti-codon, and T loops). Further hydrogen bonds mediate the characteristic L-shaped molecular structure. tRNAs have two regions of fundamental functional importance: the anti-codon, which is responsible for specific mRNA codon recognition, and the 3' end, to which the tRNAs corresponding amino acid is attached (by aminoacyl-tRNA synthetases). tRNAs cope with the degeneracy of the genetic code in two manners: having more than one tRNA (with a specific anti-codon) for a particular amino acid; and 'wobble' base-pairing, i.e. permitting non-standard base-pairing at the 3rd anti-codon position. The record is from RNAcentral.